GUAUGCCAUACCAGUGUCUCCACACUCAUUGGUUAAGAGGACAACCAACCUAUAUGGCACACAAUGAUCUAUGCUUGAUAAACGUUGUCAUCCUUGGUAACAACGUAUCAUUUGGUCACGAACAAAUUUAAGGACUAAACGAUAAAUCCUCCUUUGUUGAGUCUAAAUAGUCCUAAGGACUUCACCACAACAUAGGAGUUCAUUAGAAGAUGAAAUAUUUUGUGAUAAAAAAUACUAAAAUAAUUUUUAUUAAUUCAUAAUUCAUGUACAUAUACAAAAAUGAGCACAACCGUCAACAGGCUGACGAUUGGCUUUGGGACACUAUUCCCAAUAAUCUCGCCUAAAGCAAAUCGGUGCAGUAUCUAAUACCCAUCUUCGACUUGUAGUCGUUGAACUCCUUCACCGCAAUGGCUUUAGUGAAUGGGUCAGCCAGGUUCUCCUUUCCAUCGAUCUUCUGAAGAUCGAUGUCACCUCGAUUCAUAAUUUCUAAGAUGAGAUGGGAGCGGCGCAGAAUAUGCUUCGUUUGCUAGUGUGCCUUUGGUUCCUUCGUCUGAGCAAUGGCUCUAGAGCUAUCAUAGUAGAGCAGAACUGGACCAACAAGGGAGGGUGCUACUCCAAGCUCAGUGA
Molecule: long non-coding RNA, 627 nt
Filed under: Elaeis guineensis (African oil palm)
Lineage: Eukaryota; Viridiplantae; Streptophyta; Magnoliopsida; Arecales; Arecaceae
Description: long non-coding RNA (EGUI_LNC014238)
Source: RNAcentral